This 169-nucleotide ribosomal RNA is filed under the name uncultured bacterium. Its description in RNAcentral is "partial 16S ribosomal RNA". It matches the Rfam family "Bacterial small subunit ribosomal RNA", at positions 338 to 524 of the family's 1533-position model. The record is from RNAcentral.
CCUACGGGAGGCAGCAGUGGGGAAUAUUGCACAAUGGGGGGAACCCUGAUGCAGCAACGCCGCGUGAGUGAUGAAGGUUUUCGGAUCGUAAAGCUCUGUCUUUGGGGAAGAUAAUGACGGUACCCAAGGAGGAAGCCACGGCUAACUACGUGCCAGCAGCCGCGGUAAU